Molecule: long non-coding RNA, 901 nt
Filed under: Mus musculus (house mouse)
Lineage: Eukaryota; Metazoa; Chordata; Mammalia; Rodentia; Muridae
Description: predicted gene 44692
Source: RNAcentral
GGGUGUCACCUGUACUCCAGUGGACACCAGUGUGUGUGUGUGUGUGUGUGUGUGUGUGUGUGUGUGUGUGUGUGUGUGUGUGUAUUCUUGUACACCCACAGGUAUGCAAAUACACAAGACAGGCUGGAAAGGGGCAUCAUAGUCCCUGGAGCUAGGGUUGCAGGCAGUUGUGAACUACCCAGCAUGGUUUCUAGAAACUGAAUUCAGGUCCCUGAAGGAGCACCAAACACUCUUACCCACCGAGCCAUCUCUCCAGCCCAGGAAAUUUCCUCUUAGUGCAAUGUGUCCUCUGAAUUCCUUAACAAAUAUGCCAACCGUAGAGAUUCCUGGAAACUACAUGAAUCUUGCAAUCCAGACCUGCCAAUGAUGUCCACGAAGCUGCAUCUGCAUGAGAACCUCACACAGACAGAGACUCUACCUGAGUUCCUCCUAGCAGGCUUUGGUGAAACCACCUCCAGGGGCUGCCAAGCUUUGUCUCAAAAGGUACCAUUAUGAGGAACUUGGUUGCUAACACCUAGUACCGGAUGCACUACCAAUUUUCCACCUUCAGCCCUUUCUAAACCUCCUCAGUUGUCCACAUGUGCUUGAAAGCAACAUACAACACUGAAGAAACAAAAGCGCAAUUAUAAUGGUACCUUCAUCAUUAGAUUGACAGAGUUAAAAGAAAAGACCCCAUGUGAGAAGGCUUAUGGCCAGGACCUGGUACAUGCAUUUUAAAAACAUGAAUGAAUCAAUUUAUUGCAGUCCUGGGAAUUGAACCUAGGGCUUUUGUGCAUGCCAGGCAAGAAUUCUUCCACUAAGCCACAGCCACAGCUACAACAUGCUUUUAAUAAGCAUCAGUUAUUAUGCUGGUGUUUUUUCAUCCUUAAAGACAUUUUUUUUCCAAUUAAAUGUAUUCUCC